UACAGAGGGUGCGAGCGUUAAUCGGAAUGACUGGGCGUAAAGGGCGCGUAGGUGGUUUGUUAAGAUCGAUGUGAAAUCCCUGGGCUUAACCUAGGAAGGCCAUUGAAGACUGGCAAGCUGGAGUACUGUAGAGGGUAGUGGAAUUUCCGGUGUAGCGGUGAAAUGCGUAGAGAUCGGAAGGAACACCAGUGGCGAAGGCGGCUACCUGGACAGAUACUGACACUGAGGCGCGAGAGCGUGGGGAGCAAAC
This 250-nucleotide ribosomal RNA is filed under the name uncultured bacterium. RNAcentral's name for it is "partial 16S ribosomal RNA". It matches the Rfam family "Bacterial small subunit ribosomal RNA", at positions 524 to 773 of the family's 1533-position model. The record is from RNAcentral.